This 460-nucleotide ribosomal RNA is filed under the name uncultured bacterium. Its description in RNAcentral is "partial 16S ribosomal RNA". It matches the Rfam family "Bacterial small subunit ribosomal RNA", at positions 338 to 795 of the family's 1533-position model. The record is from RNAcentral.
CCUACGGGUGGCAGCAGUGAGGAAUAUUGGUCAAUGGUCGAGAGCCUGAACCAGCCAAGUCGCGUGAAGGAUGACGGCCCUACGGGUUGUAAACUUCUUUUGUCAGGGAGCAAUUGGGUCCACGCGUGGCCUUAGCGAGGUUACCUGAAGAAAAAGCACCGGCUAACUCCGUCCCAGCAGCGGCGUUAAUACGGGGGUUGCGAGCGUUAUCCGGAUUUAUUGGGUUUAAAGGGUGCGUAGGCGGAUUAUCAAGCCAGCGGUAAAAAUUCGGGGCUCAACCCCGUCGUGCCGUUGAAACUGGUGUUCUUGAGUGGGCGAGAAGUAUGCGGAAUGCGUGGUGUAGCGGUGAAAUGCAUAGAUAUCACGCAGAACUCCGAUUGCGAAGGCAGCAUACCGGCGCCACACUGACGCUGAAGCACGAAAGCGUGGGUAUCGAACAGGAUUAGAUACCCGUGUAGUC